This 3775-nucleotide long non-coding RNA is filed under the name Homo sapiens (human). RNAcentral's name for it is "HSALNT0334434". Lineage: Eukaryota; Metazoa; Chordata; Mammalia; Primates; Hominidae. The record is from RNAcentral.
GCCACUGCACUCCAGCCUGGCAACAGAGCAAGACUCCGUCUCAAACAAAACACAGCACAACAAAACAAAAAAGAACGAGUUUCAUAGUGAGAAACAGCGGAGAAACCAGCUUACCUGGUGGGCCUUGAGUGGCCCCUACAAACUCCAACCUGUUCAAGACUCAUUUGCCACGUUGUACCUUCCAGCCAAGGCAAUCCCCCCAGCCUGAGCUACUUCCCAGACCAGACCACAGAAGCAAGGCCAUGCUCACCGAGGACCCCACUUGUGGACUAGACUUCUGUCCUGCUGUGGCCUCAAAAGCAAUAGCCAGGGCCCCAUGAUGAAGCUGCCAUCAGAAGCACAGGUGUGCCUGGCAAGGACACAGGAGGACCACGGCUCCAUGCCGAUGAGAAUGGCAGCUAAGUCUGAAGCUUUCUAUGAUUUAGAUUCCUGGUUGCGAGAGGGAGCCUAUAGGAAUGGCGAGAAGAGUGAGAACUUUGCAGAGGCAGCAAGUGGCUAUGGGCUCAGAUCCUCUCUUACUUCAAGGGAUCUGGGCUGGAUGCUUGGGCGCGAGAGAGAAGAAUGGCUCUCAACUGGGCGGGGAAGAGUAGCCCGCAAGGAGGCAGCGGCUCCAGGAUGGGAAGUGAGGAUGCCAAAAAAGCAUCCCUAGGAAGGUUCCUGCCUUUCCACGAGGCUAUGGGGCUUUGAAGGUGGCUAGGACAUCAUGUUAAUGAAGUCAAGACUAUGGCCCCAUCUCUAGAGGCCAAAGCUUGAAACAGCAAAUAGAAAGACCUUUCCAAGCCACUACCCUUAGCAUUGAUGGCAAGGGUCUGGGUGAGAAAAUCCCUCUUGUCCACUAAACGGAAAUCAACUUGAAGCAUGUUGCCAACAGAUAUAUCAGCUUUCUCCAGGAAGAAAUGGCACUGAUGCUCCUAGACUGGAUUUCUCAUCCUCUAAGUCAGGCCUGGCCUUGGAAGCAAAGCCCCCAGGAAUGACUGGAAGACAACACUCUGCAGACCCCUUCCACAGGGUACCCCUGCUCUCCAGGAAGGGCCUUCAGGGCAGCAUUUGGAGGUGGCAUGAGCUAGCAGCGGCGUGCAGCCUGGUCACUGUCUGAUCUGGUCAGCCCAGCCGCACAGAACACCACACAGGCUCUGGCAGCUCCCUGGGAAAGAAGAAAGCAGCAUCUUGCAUGUGUGGCUUAUUCUGAAAGGAAUAGUAUCUGAGGGAUUUGAUGGACUCUGACAGGGGGAAGAAGGUAGUGAAAAAGAUGGAACAAAGAUGCCAUUUAAAAAUACUGGCUCGUGUUCAGGAUUUCGCUAUUUUUUACUGCAAGGAACAAGUAAAAAAAAAAAUCCUCCUAUUGAUGAGUAUUUUUCUACAGUCAUUAAAAGUCAAAGGACUCAGGGCUUCCGACUUUCCCUCUUGGGAAACCUGUAAGCUCGUCUUCUGGACAGCUUAGAAAAGGGCUGGAUGGCGAAGGCGAGAGGCUUAAAGGCCCCCAGCAAGCAGCUCCGCCGAGGAACGGGUGCAGGGGACACACUGUGUUUUCAGUUCAGAUUCUGUGAUCUUUCUGCCAAACAGGGGUUUACAAAGCAAAAACCUCCAGAGAAUUCUCAUACUUUCUGGCUUAUUCUCCUGGUGUUCGUCUUAACAGGAAUCAGCUGUUUGCCUUCUCACUUAUACAGCAUGUUGCUGAGGCGAAUUUAGCAUCUGGCCUGGCUAUUAUUAAAAACAAGAACAUCCUGCUCUGUUGGGAGAACAGCACCACUGGCAAUAAAAGGACAGAGAUCAUUUGCAUUCAGGAUUCCAGAGAUGUGUUUCAGUUCAAUAUCUGCGCUCCCUCCUUCCACCCCUGCUUUCAUUUUAAGAUUUCCUGAUGCAUCCAUCACUUGCAGCGUGGUCAACUUUUUUUCUGAAACAGGCACACACAGGCAGAGCAUAUUUUUUCCUUUCACUGGGAGGCAGGAAUGACUGGAGUUGUUCAAACACCGGUCCGUUCCUGCAAUUCCUAUGAUAAAGUUGAACUACCAGAGGAAUUUUUUUUUUUUUUUUUACAACUGCGGAAAUGAAAAAGUAAACAAGACUGGGACUGCAUUGGUAUUUAGGCUCCAGCUUUUUGUUGUUGUUUUUGUCUUUCCCUUUUUUUAAGCCAUUGGGCUAGGAGCCUGAAGGGACCAUAUAAUAUGAAAAACGCUGAGAGGUUUUAUUAGCCAAUAAAAAAAAAAACUGAGUUCCUAUUAACCACUUAACUCCUUGCUGAAGUUCAAACUUGCUUUCUCCUUGGAUCCUUCUCUCCCUCUCAUGCCCACGAGGAAUGACGGUUGGUUCACCAAUCUUUCCCUGCACAACCUGAGCUCACAGUUUGUGCUCCAGAAGGUGUGGUUGAGAAUCGUAUUCAAUAAUAAUCUCUGUAUUUCUCAUCUGUGAAGCCAUAAAUAAGAUUUCUGUAAGGAGCCAAAUGUUCUACGCCCCCAAAUCUACACACACAAAGACUCUUUAAGCACUCUACUAAAAAAGAGUAAAGUCAUUGUGAUUUCUAGGAUUUUAAAUACUAAAUGAUGGUUAGGGAGAACAAAAUCAGGCUGAAGCAUUUCUGGGAUAAAUAAUGAUCCCACAAAACGCUCCUCUCAUUUGGGGGCAGAAGAAUGAAGGGAAACUCACAGAGAAACAGAAAAUGAAAUUGGUCCAACUAUUUCACUGCUGGAGAUAGAUGGAGUUAGGAUACAUAGGUGACUUGGUUUAGGAAAGAGAGGAUGUCGAAGGUGAUUUAAAUCCUAACACUGUUUUAUUAAUCGUGCCACAAUUCUACAUGUCAUGUGAUUUUGUUAUCUGCUUUUUGCUGCUUUUAAAUAAAUUUGUACUUUUCUAUCAAUCCAUCAUCCAAUUGUGUUUCGGGUGUUCUUGGCAUUCCCAUCUCUCAAAAACACCCUUAGUUUCUGCCAUUAUAUACUGUAUCUCUAAUUCCACGAAGCUCACUCUAUCCUAUUUCCAUUUUCCACAUUCGGGUUAACUCUAGUACUUUUGGUCCUCCCAGAGAAAUUUCCUAAGGCCACAUGAGCCUGUGCGCUUUUGUGUUCUGGUCCCAUUUAAUGUUACUGCUCCAAGAGCUACUCCCUGAAGGGCUUAUGUGGAAGAAUUUUGCCUUUUUGUUAAAAGUAUUUUGCUCUAUGUCCUUGAUUUCUUUAUAAGAAUAGCAGGUGGGGGAAAUUCUUCCCUUUUUAUUGGCUACAGAGUGGGACAGAAUGACCUGGAAAGAAUAGAUAGCAAUCAAGAAGUGAGCUAUGUUUGCAGUGCUAAAACAGGAAGCAAGUUUUGCAGAAAACCCCACUAAGUGGCCUGACAUCAAUGCAACAAGAUAAUAAGAAACGAAUUAAAAGACAUUUUGGUAAAUGUUAAAUGUGUUUCCAGAAAUUUGAUCCCUCUGCUUCCCAAAUGGCUGAGCAUAUCUGAAUAGCAGGGCUGGAUUGAGUCACAAACUUUUGAAUAAUAGCUUUACAAAAAUUACUAAAAACUCCUUAAAUGUUAGCUUCUCCCUGCUCCCUUAAUUGACAUAUCAAGGAGCAUCCAGUGUCCCUUGUCCCAGUAACCUAUUUGAAGACAAGUAAUUGUUUCUUUAUCACUUGUGGGAUAAAGGCAGUACUUUUUUUUUUUUUUGAAGAAUUUGCAGAAAUAAAAAACUGAGGCCAAGAAACACUGUGUCUCCUGAGUACAUGUGCAGGGGUGGUGAGCCCCAUCUUUCUCUGAGUGGGUGGCUGUUCAGGUACCCUUUCCAAACUUCACCCUCCUCCUUCCC